RNAcentral lists this ribosomal RNA (491 nucleotides) under Pasteurella multocida. RNAcentral's name for it is "bacterial SSU rRNA". It matches the Rfam family "Bacterial small subunit ribosomal RNA", at positions 30 to 506 of the family's 1533-position model. The record is from RNAcentral. Lineage: Bacteria; Pseudomonadati; Pseudomonadota; Gammaproteobacteria; Pasteurellales; Pasteurellaceae.
AUUGAACGCUGGCGGCAGGCUUAACACAUGCAAGUCGAACGGUAGCAGGAAGAAAGCUUGCUUUCUUUGCUGACGAGUGGCGGACGGGUGAGUAAUGCUUGGGAAUCUGGCUUAUGGAGGGGGAUAACUGUGGGAAACUGCAGCUAAUACCGCGUAUUCUCUGAGGAGGAAAGGGUGGGACCUUAGGGCCACCUGCCAUAAGAUGAGCCCAAGUGGGAUUAGGUAGUUGGUGGGGUAAAGGCCUACCAAGCCUGCGAUCUCUAGCUGGUCUGAGAGGAUGACCAGCCACACUGGAACUGAGACACGGUCCAGACUCCUACGGGAGGCAGCAGUGGGGAAUAUUGCGCAAUGGGGGGAACCCUGACGCAGCCAUGCCGCGUGAAUGAAGAAGGCCUUCGGGUUGUAAAGUUCUUUCGGUAAUGAGGAAGGGAUGUUGUUAAAUAGAUAGCAUCAUUGACGUUAAUUACAGAAGAAGCACCGGCUAACUCCGU